AGCCCCGUCGUCUAGCGGUCAAGGAUAGGGGGUUCUGGACCCCUUGACAGCGGUUCGAAUCCGCUCGGGGCUA
RNAcentral lists this transfer RNA (73 nucleotides) under Microcaldota archaeon. Its description in RNAcentral is "tRNA-Gln". It matches the Rfam family "tRNA". From Rfam's summary of the family: Transfer RNA (tRNA) molecules are approximately 80 nucleotides in length. Their secondary structure includes four short double-helical elements and three loops (D, anti-codon, and T loops). Lineage: Archaea; Nanobdellati; Microcaldota. The record is from RNAcentral.